Molecule: ribosomal RNA, 520 nt
Filed under: uncultured Glomus
Lineage: Eukaryota; Fungi; Glomeromycota; Glomeromycetes; Glomerales; Glomeraceae
Description: SSU rRNA
Rfam family: Eukaryotic small subunit ribosomal RNA
Source: RNAcentral
AGCAGCCGCGGUAAUUCCAGCUCCAAUAGCGUAUAUUAAAGUUGUUGCAGUUAAAAAGCCCGUAGUUGAAUUUCGGGGUCAGUAGGUCGGUCGUGCCACUGGUAUGAACUGGUUUUACUGAUUCCUCCCUCUUGAAGAACUGUAAUGCCAUUAAUUUGGUGUUGCAGGGAAUCAGGACUGUUACUUUGAAAAAAUUAGAGUGUUUAAAGCAGGCUUUAGCUUGAAUACAUUAGCAUGGAAUAAUGAAAUAGGACGUUUGAUCCUAUUUUGUUGGUUUCUAGGAUUGACGUAAUGAUUAAUAGGGAUAGUUGGGGGCAUUAGUAUUCAAUUGUCAGAGGUGAAAUUCUUGGAUUUAUUGAAGACUAACUACUGCGAAAGCAUUUGCCAAGGAUGUUUUCAUUAAUCAAGAGCGAAAGUUAGGGGAUCGAAGACGAUCAGAUACCGUCGUAGUCUUAACCAUAAACUAUGCCAACUAGGGAUCGGAUGAUGUUAAUUUUUAACGACUUCAUUCGGCGCCUUA